CGCAAGAUACCGACCUAGAAGCCAACCGGCUAAGUCUCAGUAGCUUCUGGGGUCUCUUCCUCCUCUCCGGCAUCGUGUGCGUUCUUGCUCUCAUCGUCUACAUCAUCAAGACAAGCUGUCAGUACAGCAAGUUUAGCAGCACAGAGGCUGGCAAAUCCAAGGAAAAUGUCGAGGUAAGCAGCAACCGAAAGGAUCCCAAACUUAGCAAGUUAAAGAGCUUCAAGAACUUGAUGCACUUCGUCGAUACCAAGGAAGAAGAGAUUGAUAACGUGAUCAAGAGGAGACUGAGUGACAAACAACAACAACAAGGUGCUUCUACUUCAGAUAAUGGGCCUUCUACGUCACAUGCAUAGAAGUUGGU
Molecule: long non-coding RNA, 361 nt
Filed under: Musa acuminata (dwarf banana)
Lineage: Eukaryota; Viridiplantae; Streptophyta; Magnoliopsida; Zingiberales; Musaceae
Description: long non-coding RNA (MACU_LNC002316)
Source: RNAcentral